GACGAACGCCGGCGGCGUGCUUAACACAUGCAAGUCGAACGGAAAGGCCCUGCUUUUGUGGGGUGCUCGAGUGGCGAACGGGUGAGUAACACGUGAGUAACCUGCCCUUGACUUUGGGAUAACUUCAGGAAACUGGGGCUAAUACCGGAUAGGAGCUCCUGCUGCAUGGUGGGGGGUGGAAAGUUUCGGCGGUUGGGGAUGGACUCGCGGCUUAUCAGCUUGUUGGUGGGGUAGUGGCUUACCAAGGCUUUGACGGGUAGCCGGCCUGGGAGGGUGACCGGCCACAUUGGGACUGGGAUACGGCCCAGACUCCUACGGGAGGCAGAAGUGGGGAAUAUUGCACAAUGGGCGGAAGCCUGAUGCAGCAACGCCGCGUGCGGGAUGACGGCCUUCGGGUUGUAAACCGCUUUCGCCUGUGACGAAGCGUGAGUGACGGUAAUGGGUAAAGAAGCACCGGCUAACUACGUG
RNAcentral lists this ribosomal RNA (468 nucleotides) under uncultured bacterium. Its description in RNAcentral is "partial 16S ribosomal RNA". It matches the Rfam family "Bacterial small subunit ribosomal RNA", at positions 28 to 507 of the family's 1533-position model. The record is from RNAcentral.